CAAAAAGUAGCUUAAACACAAAGCAUUCGGCCUACAACCGAAAAAUACUCUAGCAGUCUUUUUGA
This 65-nucleotide transfer RNA is filed under the name Psammophis lineolatus. RNAcentral describes it as "tRNA-Val". The record is from RNAcentral. Lineage: Eukaryota; Metazoa; Chordata; Lepidosauria; Squamata.